CCAUCAGUGAGGUUGAUCCUUAUCUAUUCCUCCUUAUGGUGAAAUAGACAUGAUGAAUGGUUAAGGCUGAGUAUGUGGUUAUACAGAUCCCCUGCAUUGCCCUGACCGACAACUGGGGUGUGUGUCAUUCUGAU
This is a small nucleolar RNA of Pseudophryne corroboree (corroboree frog), 134 nucleotides long. RefSeq annotates it as U8 small nucleolar RNA. NCBI's taxonomy places the organism in Eukaryota, Metazoa, Chordata, Amphibia, Anura, Myobatrachidae. The transcript has a single exon. The record is from RefSeq and is a predicted model, not a curated record.